RNAcentral lists this ribosomal RNA (936 nucleotides) under uncultured bacterium. Its description in RNAcentral is "bacterial SSU rRNA". It matches the Rfam family "Bacterial small subunit ribosomal RNA", at positions 8 to 916 of the family's 1533-position model. The record is from RNAcentral.
AGAGUUUGAUUAUGGCUCAGAACGAACGCUGGCGGCGUGGAUAAGACAUGCAAGUCGAACGCUAAAUACGGGGUAGCAAUAUUCCGUGUUUGGAGUGGCGCAAGGGUGCGUAACACGUGGGCAAUUUGCCGUGAAGUUGGGGAUAACUCGCUGAAAGGCGAGCUAAUACCGAAUGUGACUGCCGGAGGGCAUCCUCUGGUUUUCAAAGUUGGGGACCGCAAGGCCUGACGCUUCAUGAUAAGCCCGCGGCCUAUCAGCUAGUUGGUGAGGUAACGGCUCACCAAGGCUAAGACGGGUAGCUGGUCUGAGAGGACGACCAGCCUCACUGGAACUGAGACACGGUCCAGACACCUACGGGUGGCAGCAGUCAAGAAUUUUUCUCAAUGGGGGAAACCCUGAAGGAGCGACGCCGCGUGGGGGAUGAAUGGCUUCGGCCCGUAAACCCCUGUCAUUUGCGAACAAUCCCGUUUGUUUAAUAAACAAACGGUUGCUAGUAGCGAAAGAGGAAGGGACGGCUAACUCUGUGCCAGCAGCCGCGGUAAUACAGAGGUCCCAAGCGUUGUUCGGAUUCACUGGGCGUAAAGGGUGCGUAGGUGGCCAGGUAAGUUUGAUGUGAAAUCUCCGAGCUUAACUCGGAAAGUGCAUUGAAUACUAUCUGGCUCGAGGGUUGGAGGGGAGACUGGAAUUCUCGGUGUAGCAGUGAAAUGCGUAGAUAUCGAGAGGAACACCAGUGGCGAAGGCGAGUCUCUGGACAACACCUGACACUGAGGCACGAAAGCUAGGGGAGCAAACAGGAUUAGAUACCCUGGUAGUCCUAGCUGUAAACGGUGCACAUUUGCUGUAUGAGGAAUCGACCCCUUUUGUGGCGAAGCUAACGCGUUAAAUGUGCCGCCUGGGGAGUACGGUCGCAAGAUUAAAACUCAAAGGAAUUGACGG